GCGCGGUAGCUUAGUUGGCUAGAGCGAUCGGUUCAUACCCGGUAGGUCGUGGGUUCGAGUCCCACCCGCG
This 70-nucleotide transfer RNA is filed under the name bovine gut metagenome. It matches the Rfam family "tRNA". Rfam says of the family: Transfer RNA (tRNA) molecules are approximately 80 nucleotides in length. Their secondary structure includes four short double-helical elements and three loops (D, anti-codon, and T loops). Further hydrogen bonds mediate the characteristic L-shaped molecular structure. tRNAs have two regions of fundamental functional importance: the anti-codon, which is responsible for specific mRNA codon recognition, and the 3' end, to which the tRNAs corresponding amino acid is attached (by aminoacyl-tRNA synthetases). tRNAs cope with the degeneracy of the genetic code in two manners: having more than one tRNA (with a specific anti-codon) for a particular amino acid; and 'wobble' base-pairing, i.e. permitting non-standard base-pairing at the 3rd anti-codon position. The record is from RNAcentral.